UGGGGAAUUUUGGACAAUGGGCGAAAGCCUGAUCCAGCAAUGCCGCGUGUGUGAAGAAGGCCUUCGGGUUGUAAAGCACUUUUGUCCGGAAAGAAAUCCUUGGCUCUAAUACAGUCGGGGGAUGACGGUACCGGAAGAAUAAGCACCGGCUAACUACGUGCCAGCAGCCGCGGUAAUACGUAGGGUGCAAGCGUUAAUCGGAAUUACUGGGCGUAAAGCGUGCGCAGGCGGUUUGCUAAGACCGAUGUGAAAUCCCCGGGCUCAACCUGGGAACUGCAUUGGUGACUGGCAGGCUAGAGUAUGGCAGAGGGGGGUUAGAAUUCCACGUGUAGCAGUGAAAUGCGUAGAGAUGUGGAGGAAUACCGAUGGCGAAGGCAGCCCCCUGGGCCAAUACUGACGCUCAUGCACGAAAGCGUGGGGAGCAAAGCAGGAUUAGAUACCCUGGUAGUCCACGCCCUAAACGAUGUCAACUAGUUGUGGGGAUUCAUUCCUUAGUAACGUAGCUAACGCGUGAAGUUGACCGCCUGGGGAGUACGGUCGCAAGAUUAAAACUCAAAUGAAUUGACGGGGUCAUAGCUGUUU
Molecule: ribosomal RNA, 582 nt
Filed under: uncultured bacterium
Lineage: Bacteria
Description: partial 16S ribosomal RNA
Rfam family: Bacterial small subunit ribosomal RNA
Source: RNAcentral